Molecule: ribosomal RNA, 424 nt
Filed under: uncultured bacterium
Lineage: Bacteria
Description: bacterial SSU rRNA
Rfam family: Bacterial small subunit ribosomal RNA
Source: RNAcentral
GGAAUAUUGGACAAUGGGGGAAACCCUGAUCCAGCGACGCCGCGUGGGUGAUGAAGGCUUUCGGGUCGUAAAGCCCUGUCAGGAGGAAAGAAUGCUCCUAUGGUAAAUAUCUAUAGGAAGUGACGGUACCUCCACAGGCAGCACCGGCCAACUCCGUGCCAGCAGCCGCGGUAAGACGGAGGGUGCAAGCGUUGCUCGGAAUUACUGGGCGUAAAGGGUGCGUAGGCGGCCUUUCAAGUCUGGCGUGAAAGCCCAGGGCUCAGCCCUGGAAGUGCGCUAGAAACUGGAGGGCUAGAGUAUCGGAUGGGAGAGUGGAAUUCCUGGUGUAGCGGUGAAAUGCGUAGAUAUCAGGAGGAAUACCGGUGGCGAAGGCGACUCUCUGGACGAUAACUGACGCUGAGGCACGAAAGCGUGGGGAGCAAAC